GAUGAACGCUGGCGGCGUGCCUAAUACAUGCAAGUCGAGCGAACAGACGAGGAGCUUGCUCCUCUGACGUUAGCGGCGGACGGGUGAGUAACACGUGGAUAACCUACCUAUAAGACUGGGAUAACUUCGGGAAACCGGAGCUAAUACCGGAUAAUAUAUUGAACCGCAUGGUUCAAUAGUGAAAGACGGUUUUGCUGUCACUUAUAGAUGGAUCCGCGCCGCAUUAGCUAGUUGGUAAGGUAACGGCUUACCAAGGCAACGAUGCGUAGCCGACCUGAGAGGGUGAUCGGCCACACUGGAACUGAGACACGGUCCAGACUCCUACGGGAGGCAGCAGUAGGGAAUCUUCCGCUAUGGGCGAAAGCCUGACGGAGCAACGCCGCGUGAGUGAUGAAGGUCUUCGGAUCGUAAAACUCUGUUAUUAGGGAAGAACAAAUGUGUAAGUAACUAUGCACGUCUUGACGGUACCUAAUCAGAAAGCCACGGCUAACUACGU
This 496-nucleotide ribosomal RNA is filed under the name uncultured bacterium. RNAcentral's name for it is "partial 16S ribosomal RNA". It matches the Rfam family "Bacterial small subunit ribosomal RNA", at positions 28 to 506 of the family's 1533-position model. The record is from RNAcentral.